AUUGAACGCUGGCGGCAGGCCUAACACAUGCAAGUCGAACGGUAACAGGAAGAAGCUUGCUUCUUUGCUGACGAGUGGCGGACGGGUGAGUAAUGUCUGGGAAACUGCCUGAUGGAGGGGGAUAACUACUGGAAACGGUAGCUAAUACCGCAUAACGUCGCAAGACCAAAGAGGGGGACCUUCGGGCCUCUUGCCAUCGGAUGUUCCCAGAUGGGAUUAGCUAGUAGGUGGGGUAACGGCUCACCUAGGCGACGAUCCCUAGCUGGUCUGAGAGGACGACCAGCCACACUGGAACUGAGACACGGUCCCGACUCCUACGGGAGGCAGCAGUGGGGAAUAUUGCACAAUGGGCGCAAGCCUGAUGCAGCCAUGCCGCGUGUAUGAAGAAGGCCUUCGGGUUGUAAAGUACUUUCAGCGGGGAGGAAGGGAGUAAAGUUAAUACCUUUGCUCAUUGACGUUACCCGCAGAAGAAGCACCGGCUAACUCCGUG
This 490-nucleotide ribosomal RNA is filed under the name uncultured bacterium. RNAcentral describes it as "partial 16S ribosomal RNA". It matches the Rfam family "Bacterial small subunit ribosomal RNA", at positions 30 to 507 of the family's 1533-position model. The record is from RNAcentral.